This 447-nucleotide ribosomal RNA is filed under the name uncultured soil bacterium. RNAcentral describes it as "bacterial SSU rRNA". It matches the Rfam family "Bacterial small subunit ribosomal RNA", at positions 26 to 467 of the family's 1533-position model. The record is from RNAcentral.
AGAACGAACGCUGGCGGCGUGGAUAAGACAUGCAAGUCGAACGGAACUUGGUAGCAAUACUAAGUUCAGUGGCGGACGGGUGCGUAACACGUGAACAAUCUGCCCGGAAGAGGGGGAUAGCCCAGGGAAACUUGGAUUAAUACCCCGUGUGAUCGGAAUGGGCAUCCAUUCCACAUCAAAGGUGCUGCAAGGUGCCGCUUCCGGAUGAGUUCGCGCCCUAUCAGCUUGUGGCGGGUAACGCCCACCAAGGCGAUGACGGGUAGCUGGUCUGAGAGGAUGACCAGCCACACUGGAACUGAGACACGGUCAGACACUACGGGUGCAGCAGUCGAGAAUCAUUCACAAGUGGGACGAAAGCCUAGAUGGUAGUGACGCCGCGUGGAGAUGAAGGUCUUCGGAUUGUAAACUCCUGUCAGUGUAGAGUAAGUAACGCCGGUACGUUAACGU